AUCAGUUUUUGUUUUUUGUAUACACCGAGAUGAAGCUGAAAGUUAUGACGAUCAGAUCAAAUACCAAAAGUUGUAACUCGGAUAUACCAUGAUAUUUUGAAUGGUGUGCUACCUUAAUAGCUUUCAGUGGAGGAGCUUGAGAAAAUGAAGGUAACUAUGAAGCUUCCUCUAUACAUGAUGAAGUGGGCGAAUGCGAAAUACAACAGGAGUUAGAGAAAGGCACACCUUGCACUUAUCGUUUCCUGAGUGCCAAAGAAAGGCUCACUGAAAGUAUCAAAUUUAUUUAAUGUGAGGUAGUGACAAGCUUUAGAGUUCAACCUUUUAGUGGAGUGCUUUUAUGCAUAUAAUCUUAAUAUAAUUCAUAAUUGUAAAUAAUGGGAAGCAAACAGUGGUACAUACAUUGUAUGCAUUGUGAAAGAAAAUAUUUUUAUAAU
Molecule: long non-coding RNA, 434 nt
Organism: Triticum aestivum (bread wheat)
Lineage: Eukaryota; Viridiplantae; Streptophyta; Magnoliopsida; Poales; Poaceae
Exons: 2
Source: RefSeq, a predicted model, not a curated record